UCGUCAGCUCGUGUCGUGAGAUGUUGGGUUAAGUCCCGCAACGAGCGCAACCCCUAUGAUUAGUUGCCAGCAUUUAGUUGGGGACUCUAGUCAGACUGCCGGUGACAAACCGGAGGAAGGUGGGGAUGACGUCAAAUCAUCAUGCCCCUUAUGACCUGGGCUACACACGUGCUACAAUGGAUGGUACAACGAGCAGCUAACCCGCGAGGGUAUGCGAAUCUCUUAAAGCCAUUCUCAGUUCGGAUUGCAGGCUGCAACUCGCCUGCAUGAAGCCGGAAUCGCUAGUAAUCGCGGAUCAGCACGCCGCGGUGAAUACGUUCCCGGGUCUUGUACACACCGCCCGUCACACCACGAGAGUUUGUAACACCCGAAGCCGGUGGCCUAACCCUUUUAGGGAGGGAGCCGUCGAAGGUGGGAUGAAAUGAUUGGGGUGAAGUCGUAACAAGGUAACCGUA
This 455-nucleotide ribosomal RNA is filed under the name uncultured bacterium. RNAcentral describes it as "bacterial SSU rRNA". It matches the Rfam family "Bacterial small subunit ribosomal RNA", at positions 1052 to 1504 of the family's 1533-position model. The record is from RNAcentral.